RNAcentral lists this small nuclear RNA (291 nucleotides) under Microtus ochrogaster (prairie vole). RNAcentral describes it as "7SK RNA (ENSMOCG00000005948.1)". It matches the Rfam family "7SK RNA". From Rfam's summary of the family: 7SK was discovered as an abundant small nuclear RNA in the mid-70s but a possible function has only recently been suggested. Two independent studies have found that 7SK RNA binds the CDK9/cyclin T complex (known as elongation factor P-TEFb). P-TEFb activates transcription by phosphorylating the C-terminal domain of RNA polymerase II. The record is from RNAcentral. Lineage: Eukaryota; Metazoa; Chordata; Mammalia; Rodentia; Cricetidae.
GAUGGGAGAGAGAUCAGACAAAAUGUCUGUCACCACAUUCUUCACUCGGGUUGAUUCUGCUCAUCCGGGUGGCCAGGGGGCUGCUCUUGCCUCUAUCACCGUCAUGUGCCCUCUACAAAGCUGUGUGUUUGCUUGAAGAGGAUCGCUGGCCCUGGACAGACGAGGACCAGUCUUUGGUCAAGGAUGUACAAAUAGCUAUGUUCUUUUGCUAAAACCUGCAAAUUGACUCUCCAAUUCAACAAGCAAAAGGACCAGUGAUGAAGCUCCGUGGGGGGAGUAUUUGCCUAGCAU